This 210-nucleotide unclassified non-coding RNA is filed under the name uncultured bacterium. RNAcentral describes it as "contains 16S-23S intergenic spacer region". The record is from RNAcentral.
UGGAGUCGUCGAACAGAACGUAUGUGCCAAUCGGGCCGCCGCCCAACGUUGGCGGAUUAUUCUCGAUGUAGAAGUCAAUGGUCGGGAAAUUGACGCCAUACACGUCGACCCCCCUGUAGGCUGGACGCUCAAUUGGGACUGAGGUGCGCGCUUCCCUCGACGACUGAUUGGACAAGUACCUCAGACUCUCGACGACCGUCUUCUUGUCCU